This is a long non-coding RNA of Arabidopsis lyrata subsp. lyrata, 1395 nucleotides long. RefSeq lists it as uncharacterized. The record is from RefSeq and is a predicted model, not a curated record. Lineage: Eukaryota; Viridiplantae; Streptophyta; Magnoliopsida; Brassicales; Brassicaceae. The transcript has 2 exons.
UAAAGGGAGUAAAAAAGUGUAAUUGAGGAGAAGGAUUUGUCGGAACUCAGUGACUUUGUCUCAAUGAUUUCUGUCUUUGGUCACAUCAGUUUCCUUAUCUUCCUCAGGCAACUUAAGUUGCUUCAUUUACUUCUUCAAUUUUUUCUCCCUUUGCCUUUUUUCCAUUUAGUUUCUCUUUUUGCUUUCUUAUUUCUCUGUUCAAAUUUUAUUGAUUGAACAUACUUUUGACGUUUCUUUUAUCUUUCCCGAGGAUAUCAAAAUAUUUUUGUUCACUAGCUACGAUAAUAUUAACAAAGGAGUAUCAUAAUUAAAAAUUCGUAAUUCGUAGAAGAUGAUGACACGUCUACAUACUAAUUAGUUUUCUUGAUGUUGUAAUAUCAGAAUUUACAAUUAAAUUUGAUAACAGAAAUUUUAUAACCAAGAGUUUUGGAGUCGAAACCAUGCAUCCCCACUAGCCACUACUUUCGUAAAGUGCUAUUUCUUGGUAUGGUUCAACUUUGAAUCUGGCUUGGUAUCCAAUAACAUUUAGCAAGUAAAAUAACUGGAUCUAUUUACGUUUUAUGGCGCACGUGUGACUUUCCUUUGCCGGCAAGAGGUCUACAAGAAGAUUCAUGCUAGAGGGUCAGAUGAUGCUUUUGCAUAGAUUUAAUAUAUUUUCAGAGGCAUUUUCUAUCCGAUGGGUUCUCUCUUAUCAUCUGACGAUUGCCACAUAUAUCAUUUUGUUAUUUACCAUAACUCCGAUCGACUCUUAAAUUAAAUGAGCAUGCAUUAACAUAGAAUUUCUUGCAACAUAUUUCAGAUAAAACCUUUAACCAUAGACCUAGUAGCCAUAACCUCCAACUCUUAAAAAAUUAUAUGAGUAUAGGUUUUAAGUUUUGUCAAUAGGUAUAUUACAUGUCAAAUGUGUAGUAAAAAUUAAUAUAACCUUCUUGUUUUUGUUUACUUUAUAGACAACAGAAAUUGUAAAUAUAUCAUACAUAUAUGUAUCUAUAGACUAUAGCUACGUCCGUGUGUAUCUUUAUAAAUAUAUAAUUCACGCAAGACACUCUCUCUAUCUUUAUCUCAAACUAUGGAUGAAUGGGAAAGCGUUUCAUGGAUUGAAGAACCACUAAAGUGCCAUGAUCUAGGACACAAAGGCUGUUUCAAGAAGAUGAAGAAGAUGAUCUACAAUUGUUCUGGUUCGUGAUCAACUAUUGACGCUAUCUUAACCUGAGCUUUACUAAUUGGUAUAUUUUCUGUUUGUUUUUUUUUUCUUGACCUUGUAAGACCUUUUCUCUACUCUUUUCUACCUUCUUACUAUUCCUAUCUUCUAGAUUUCUCGAUUCCGUCGAGUUUCUACAUAAUUUGUUUAAUUGUUGUAUACUCUUAGGAUUCAUAUUCCCACUCUUUUAUAUA